UUGGGUCAAGCUACUAAGGGCGUACGGUGGAUGCCUUGGCAUCGGUAGGCGAUGAAGGACGUGGUAAGCUGCGAUAAGCUCCGGUGAGGCGCAAACAGCCUUUGACCCGGAGAUCUCCGAAUGGGGAAACCCGGUGCGGCAUGACCGCAUCACGCUUCGGUGAAUCCAUAGCCGGAGCGGGCCAACGGGGUGAACUGAACCAUCUUAGUAACCCCAGGAAAAGAAAGAAAAUUCGAUUUCCUCAGUAGCGGCGAGCGAACGGGAAACAGCCCAAACCCAGCCGUGUGCAAGCCGGCACGCGUUGCACGGCGGGGGUCGUGGGAUCCAGUCUGACCCGAGUGCCGAGAGGGUCGGAGAGUUACAAAGGCUGCGGCUAGUCGAAGCGCUCUGGAAAGUGCCGCCACAGACGGUGACAGCCCGGUAGGCGAAAGCUGACAGCCCUCUCCCGACUGGACACCCAAGUACCAUGGGACACGUGGAAUCCUGUGGGAAUUCGGGAGGACCAUCUCCCAAGGCUAAAUACUCACCGAUGACCGAUAGUGAACAAGUACCGUGAGGGAAAGGUGAAAAGAACUCCUGGCGGAGAGUGAAAUAGUACCUGAAACCGUAUGCCUACAAGCAGUGGGAGGGCGCUCCGGGUCUUCGGACCUGGUCCCGCCUGACCGCGUGCCUUUUGCAUAAUGAGCCGGCGAGUUAAUCUGCGCAGCGAGGUUAAGUGCCUUACGGCACGGAGCCGCAGCGAAAGCGAGUCUUAACAGGGCGUUCAGUUGCGUGGAUUAGACCCGAAACCGAGUGAUCUACCCAUGGCCAGGACGAAGCGCAUGUAACAGUGCGUGAAAGGCCGAACCGACCAGGGUUGAAAACCUGGCGGAUGAGCUGUGGGUAGGGGUGAAAGGCCAAUCAAACUCGGCGAUAUCUGGUUCUCCCCGAAACAGGUUUAGGCCUGGCCUCGCGUGUUGUGUGACGGAGGUAGAGCACUGACUGGGCUAGGGGGCCUACAAGCCUACCAAACCCAUUCAAACUCCGAAUGCCGUUCACAUUAGCGCGGGAGUCAGACUACGAGGGAUAAGCUUCGUGGUCGAAAGGGAAACAGCCCGGACCGCCAGCUAAGGUCCCCAAGUGCAGGCUAAGUGUAAAAGGAUGUGGAGUUACACAGACAACCAGGAUGUUGGCUUAGAAGCAGCCAUCAUUUAAAGAAAGCGUAACAGCUCACUGGUCAAGUGAUUCCGCGCCGAAAAUUCAUGGGACUCAAGUCUGCCACCGAAGCUGCGGGCUCGUGCUUUGCACGAGCGGUAGGGGAGCAUUCCACGGUAGGUCGAAGGUGGAUCGGCAAGGUCUGCUGGACGAAGUGGAAGCGAUUAUGCCGGCAUGAGUAGCGAUAAGAGAGGCGAGAAACCUCUCCACCGAAAGCCUAAGGUUUCCUGAGGAAGGCUAAUCCGCUCAGGGUAAGUCGGCCCCUAAGCCGAGGCCGAAAGGCGUAGGUGAUGGGAAUCCGGUCAACAUUCCGGAACCACCGGACGUGCGUUUGUACGAUGGGGUGACGCAGGAGUGAAAGGCCAGCCGGGCGAUGGUUGUCCCGGUUCAAGCAGGUAGGUGGACCGUCCAGGAAAAUCCGGAUGGUCGUUACACCGAGAUGCGAUGACGAGUCCUCUGGACGCAAAGUGGUCCUAAGCAUACUGCCAAGAAAAACCUCUAAGGAGUACGUUCGGUGACCGUACCGUAAACCGACACAGGUAGGCGAGAUGAGUAUUCUAAGGUGCUCGAGAUAACCCUCGCUAAGGAACUCGGCAAAAUAGCCCCGUAACUUCGGAAGAAGGGGUGCCUCCUUCGGUGACGGACUUCGCGUCCCGAGCUGGGGGAGGUCGCAGUGACCAGGCUCGAGCGACUGUUUACCAAAAACACAGGUCUCUGCUAAGUCGAAAGACGACGUAUAGGGACUGACACCUGCCCGGUGCCGGAAGGUUAAAGGGAUGUGUUAGCCCGCAAGGGCGAAGCACUGAACUGAAGCCCCGGUAAACGGCGGCCGUAACUAUAACGGUCCUAAGGU
Molecule: ribosomal RNA, 2047 nt
Filed under: Deltaproteobacteria bacterium
Lineage: Bacteria; Pseudomonadati; Myxococcota; Myxococcia
Description: bacterial LSU rRNA
Rfam family: Bacterial large subunit ribosomal RNA
Source: RNAcentral